CGUUCUGGUAACAUCGGUACCACAUAGUAUCCCGGGAGGUAAAUUGAGCUUGUUUUAUGACGGGCUUCAAUGUCAAGUUCACUGUUGCGCUGCACAUAGUAAGCCACAUCAGCAAUGGCAACAUACAAAACAAAACCUUUGUCGGUGCGCUUGACGUAAAUCGCAUCAUCCAAGUCCUUGGAAGUGGCGGGGUCAAUCGUGACAAAGGCAAGUUCGGUUAAGUCCUUGCGGUAGGGCUUACUCUGCUCUUUUUCAUCAAACUGUAACUUCGCUGCUUGUUGUUCGACCACAUCAUUAUCUUCAAAGACAAUCGAGUGGUCUAACAUAAUCGCCUUGAGGUUAAUUAACGGUUCAUCGUUAUUCCCCAAGAUUUGCUGAAUGGAGACUUUACACAGGUUAUUUGCAGGAUCAUACUCAUCAAUUUGAAAAGCGACCUUAGUAUUGCUCUCCAGUUCAGCUGGAACUGAGGCCUUAUUGACAAUCGGGGUGAGGUAAAAACGAGGAUUGUCAGCAACAAUGCGAAACUCCUGACCAAAAUCGGAGUACUCAAUCAAAAAGUUACCAGCGUACAGCACCCGGGAGCGCUUCACAAUUUUGAGCACUGCAGCAUCAAACUUAUCACCUACCUGUGGUUUGUCGAGCGGACAGAAUUCAACUAGAUCACCAUCCAGUGCUCCCGCUAGGUUGGAAAAAUGGAUAUAGUACACCGUUUUGUCAUCAUCUAAGGGACGGACAAAACCAGUGUUCUUGUUACCUAAAUUGAGAAUGCCCUGAAACUUUUGAUCCAAUACCGGAUCAGCUAGUUCAUAGUUAAUUAACAGCUGGUUUGUAGCACCACCCGACUUGCGAAAAAUGUGUCAUUCUAACAAGUCAUCAAUUGCUCUGUAUACCUGUUGCUUUCCCGGAAAACCAGCUUGAUUCUCCAUCAUCCUGACAACUAUUCCCGGAGGAAUAGGUUUGCCGUUCUCUUUUUUCACAAUCGCGAAGAUUCGCUUUUGUAAAUCAGUUAAUACUUUCAUCUGUUAGAUUUUAAAGCGCAAAAUGAAAAACUAACCCUAAAAUAAGAAAAAGCACUACUAAAAUAAACAUCGUAAUUUGGAGAAUUUUGACAAUUCCGCGGUCUUUGGUUUUGCGAAAAAUUUCCAAAUCUUGACCUGAAAGCGAAGCAAGUCCGCCAGUAGAACCAUGGUUGGAUAGCAAUAAACCGAUGAUUAAACAAAGGAUUGCCAUUACAAACAUUACUAUUUGAAUUGCGUCCAUGCUUUAAUGUGUGUUAAUUUUAAACUAAUGCUUUAAUUUUGGUUUAGUUUUUUUAACUUAGCGUUGAGGUGUUGAAUUCCCGAACGGGUAAUUUGCACUUUGUAUUUCCUUUCAAAAAACUGGGCAAUUUGUUCCAAUGACCAGUCAGGAUGGUCUAGUUUGACUAAACAAAAGCGCUGAAAGUUGAGCGAUUGCUUUUUAAAGUCAGCACUGUUUAUGAGGAUUUUUAGCUGUUCCGCUGUGCUUGUGCUGGUCUUUAAAGUGCGCAUUAGGUUAGCAAUUUCUAAGUUACUUUUACGCACUUGUUCUAAGGCAAAAUUUUUUUGCAAUUGGUUUUCUUCAAAGGCUAGAUAACCAUCAAAAGCUUCGACUAGUUUAAAGAAGUCACAAAUGGCCUGAUAGCUUUUAACAUAGACCAAAAGCUGGUGGCGCUUAGUGGUUUGUUUAAAAGGAUGAAACAGCUUCAUUAACUGUUUUAUUUGCAGUUCGUUGUUAGUGCUAAUUUGGAGGUGAAAGUUACUGGAAUGGAGUAAAUCGCUCACACUACCACCACUCAAAAAGGCACCAAUGACAUAGGCCUUCUGUAGCGGUAAAUCGCUCUGAGUUGCAUCAAAGGCUAACAACUGAUCCACCUCUGUUUGCGAAGCCCUAAAACUAAACUCACAGUGAGUGCUCGUUUCGUGGAUUUGAAAACUAAACUGGAGUGCAUUGCUAAACAACGCCUUUAAAGUAGCAGUGCUAGUUUUAAAGGAUCAUUGACCAGUAGCGAGUAGUUUUAACCCGUUUUGAAAAUAACCAGCUAAAAAGCUGGAUCACUCUGUUUUAAUUAAAGGGUUGGUGGCUAACUCGUGCUUAAUCUGAACACUAAAGGACAUCACGGAUCGUUAACACCGCGAUAAUGCCGUCAUUAAUGGCAGUACCAAUUUGACGGAAGUGCUUAGAACGACAAUCACCUGCUGCAAACAGACCCUUUAAACUUGUUUCCAUCUGUUCAUUGGUAAUUAAAAAACCCUGGGGAUCUAACUUUAAGUUGAGGUGUUCCACCGGUUUGGUAAUACUUUCAAAACCAAUAUAGGGAAAGACACAAUUGAGAUCUAUCUGUUUUGUUGAAUGAUCGAGCGUGUUUUGAAGCACUAUGCCGUUUAGGGUAUUGUUACCCAACAAUUCUUUUACGGUAUAGUUCAAGUGAAAAACAACAUUCGGUAAGUUUCUCAGUUUAUUUAACGCCGUUUCAUCAGCACGAAAGCCCUCACGGCGGUGGAUUAAGUGCACCGUUUUAGCCAUGCUAGCUAAAUACAACGCUUCCUGAAUGGCAGAGUUCCCCCCACCAACAACACCCACCACCUGGUCUUUGUACAAGGACCCAUCACAAAUGGCACAGUAACUAAUUCCCUUACCGUAAAAGUGGUCUUCUUUGGCUACGCCCAGUUUACGCUCCAACAUUCCCGUAGCGUAAAUAACGGUUUUGGCAAACACCACAGUUUUGUCAUCGAGGUACAAGAUAAAGGUAUCUGCUGCCUUAUCUAACUUAAUUAGGUUAGCAUAGAAAAAGGUGGGCUCUAAAUCAAUUAGGUGGUUGUACAUUUCCAACCCCAAGUCAGGUCCGGUAAUUGACUUGUAACCCGGAUAGUUCUCGACAAUGUUGGUUUUGACAACCUUACCGCCGGGAGUACUACCUUCAAUAAUGGCUAGAUUGAGGUUAGCGCGUUUGCCAUAAAUACCCGCUGCUAUGCCAGCUGGCCCAGCACCCACUAUCGCUACAUCGUAAAUAACCUGAUCUUUAGUUAAAAAAUCUGACUUUACUUUAAGCAUUAAUAAUUUUGAUGCGGGGGUUUAAAUAUUCAGAGCGCAUUGCUACUAUGAACUUAUUGUUGUCAUCAUAAAAGAGGUCGUAGAUCAGUAAGUUCUUAGUCUCAUCAUCCACACAGAUUAAGGAGCUUUUGCGCUCUACCACAAUGCCGUUGUAAGCAAAGUCCUUAAAGAAUUGUUCCUGGAGGUUUUGCUCGCUAAAAAUUUGGAGCACAUCAUCCUUGCCAAAGAAGCUAAGGUUUAAAAAAUUCUUCUUGUUUUCAUCAAAUAACUUGGCUUCCAAACCCUUAAAGUUACCAAAGUCAACGCCACUGUCAAUUGAGCUGAAAACAUCACGGUCAACUUCGCGUAGGUGGUUCUUCAUUAAGGUUGAGAGCUUAGCUCACUUGGGCAAUUUGUUGUCCUGGGUUUUAUGAAAGAAACUAAAACCAGCAUUCUUAGCGACAAAGUAACCAGCAUUACCUUUAGUGUGGCGAAUUAGAUCUUUACCUAAGAGGGUAUUGAGGAUAGUACGAAUGAGACUUCUAGAUGAAGCGAAACGAAUUUCGAGCUGGCGUUCAGAGAAGAUGCGGGUGCCAGCAGGCCAUUUAAAGCUUUGAAUUUUAAGGAGAAUGUAACGGUAAAUUAUUUGACCUUUUUUAGCUUGCUCUUUCGCUGAAAUCAUGAAGCAACUUUUCAACAAUUAUAAAAACUUGCUGGGGAUUGGCGCGAUUGUGGGUUCUUUGCAUAACUUGACCUAUAAUUAGCUUUUGAAUUCGUUCAACUCGAUCUAAGUUCUUAAGGAUUUCACCCUCGUUUUCCUUAAAGAUUUGUUGGAUGAUUUGCGUUAGUUGUUUUUCAUCAGUUAUCUGUUCUAAGUUGUGUAGUUUAGCCAGCGAUUGGGGGUCUUGCCCAUUGUCUAACAUUAACUCAAUUAACUGCUUUGCUUGUUUUUGGUUCACGGUGCCCUUCUGUACCAUUUGGAUUAGGAUAAUUAAGUGAUCAAUCGUUUUGUCCUUGAGCGGUUUUUGUAGCUUGUUGAGUUGUCCCAUUAACUCAAUGCACAACCAGCGAAUGGUAUCUUGGGGACUGUUAAUGACACUGUUAAUCUUGGUGUAAGCAUUAAAAAGAGUCAGAUCAUCGACUACUAAUUGAUUUAGCUGCUCAUUAACCCCAGCUUCCUUGAGCUUGGUAAAGAACUCAGUUAAGUUAAAGGCCUUGUUGGGUUUUUGUAGCAGUUCAUCAAUGUUACUGCUCAUAAUGUUGGGUUCAAUGAAAUAACGGUAAUCGACUGAAUUGUCCUUUUUACGCAUGAAGACAUUGGUAUUGGUUUUGUCGUCAUAAGUUAGGGUAACUUGUUGAACCGGUUCGCCUUUAAUUAGUGCUUUGACUUGACGUGCUAUUUCCAAAUCAAUUGCCUUUUCCACAUUAUUGAGUGAGUUAAUGUUCUUAAUUUCGACCUUGGUGCCAAAAGCAGUUUGUCCCUUUAAGCGCACUGAUACAUUACAGUCACUGCGCAUCGAGCCAUCUUCGAGCUUAGCGUUGGAAAUGUUGUUAACAAUCAAAAUUUGACGUAGCUUUUGCAAGUAUGCCUUAGACUGCUUAGCACUCUUAAUCACGGGCGCGGUAACUACUUCAAUUAGCGGUGCACCACAACGGUUAAAGUCGAGCAGAAUUUGCCCAUCGACAAAAUGUUGCUUGGCAGUAUCUUCCUCUAGGUGAAACCGUUCAAUGAUAAUCCGCUGCGCUUUGUUGUUUUCCACAAUUUCAACGUAACCGUUUUGCGCAAUCGGAAAGUUUUGCUGGGUAAUCUGAAAACCCUUAGGUAGAUCUUGGUAAAAGUAGUGCUUACGGUCAAACACUAAGACUGGCUGUACCCGUUGCAUGUUGAGCGCGUCAGCAAGGAUUAACGCCUUUUGUACCGCCUGCUCAUUGACCUGGGGCAUGGUACCAGGCAAGCCCAAAUCAAUCGCGUUUAUGAACUGGUUUGGUGUGGCGUUUUGCGCUUGGUUGGGCGCUGGGGAAAACAUUUUGGUAGCAGUGUUUAAGACCACGUGUACCUCAAUCCCAAUAAUUGCUUCAAAGUUAAUCAUCAUGUUCAAUUUGGAAUAAUUCCUCCAAUCAAGCAGCUACUUGUAAUAAUUGCUUGUCGUGAAAGCAGUUAGCAUUAACACUCAAACCAAUCGUUUGGUCCUUUUGUUUGACCAAUCAUGGAAUCGUAAUUGAAGGAUUACCAGCAAAGUUAGCUAGUUGUAAAAAGUCAUCCACGAGGUUAGUAAAGCUCUCACCCUUUUGCACCGCAGCUAUUGUUUUAGUAAAGCCGGAUGCACUAGGUGACACAAUGAAAUCCGCUUCUUUAAACAGGUUUAAGUAAGCAUCAACCAUUACCCGGCGGAUCUUUUGAGCCUUUUCAAAGUACUUGGUAAAGUUAUUCUUGUCAGUACCAAAAGCACCAAUAAUAAAGCGGCGUUUUAACUGCUCACCAAAGAAACGGUCGCGGUUGGCAGUAAUUGUUUUGGAAAAGUCACUCGCUUGGUUGGGUUCAAACAAUUUUUGACCAAAGACAAUCCCAGUGAGAUUACUGUAACAGCUCACCGCUUCACUGUAACUAAUCAGCUUGUAAACUGGAUCAAUUACCUCUAGCAGUUCAAGCGGAAAGUGAAACGGAAUUAACUCACAACCCUCCAAGGUAAUUCUUUCCUUUAAGCUGUUUCACUUUUUGCUCAGUUCAAUGUCAAACCAUUCCUCUAGCGGUUUUAGAUAACCUAUCUUGAUUUGCUUGUUGAAGGACUCUUUUAAGGACCUGGUAAACUUGCCAGCAUCAGGAGAUUUUUGAGCGGAAAAAUCAGCUUUGUCAUGUUUAAUGAUUUCAUCACUAACAAGUGCUACAUCAUACACAUACCGCGCAAAGAUCCCGACAUGGUCUAAACUAGGCGCGUAAGGAUACACUCCGUUCCGCGAUAUCAAACCAUAGGUGGGCUUAAAACCAACAAUGUUACAAAUGCUAGCUGGACGGCGUACCGAAUCUCCCGUGUCCGUACCAAUUGAAAAGGGAACAAUGCCGCGCGCCACUGCAUAAGCGGAACCGGAUGAAGAACCACCAGGAAUUAGGGUUUCGUUUCAAGGGUGGUGGACAAAACCAAAACCCGAAUGGAGCCCCGUACCGCCUAAACCAAACUCGUCGAGGUUCGCUUUACCAACUAAUAAAGCGCCACUGUUGUUUAGCAAUUCAAACACAGUUGCUGAAAACGGCGGGAUAUAGUCUUCCAAAAACCUCGAACCACCAGUAGUAACAAUUCCCUUCGUGGCAAUGUUGUCCUUUAAAACAAAGGGAAUGUUGUUGAGUGGUGAUUUACUGCGGUUUUUGGGUGCUUGGGCUUGUGCUCACUCAACCGUAUUUUUCAACAAAAAGUUACUCGAUCAGUGUUCGUUAAUUGCUCCAUCAAUUUGUUGUAAUAACGGAUUGAUUGACGCUGGUUUUUUAGUUAGUGUUUGCUGGAGCUUUAAGAUUUGCGAUUUCACAACUAUACUUUGACAAAGCCAACACUCAUUUCCUUACAGUUGGCUAAUAAUUUUUCGGGAUGCUUUUCCACUAUUACCUUAUCUUUACGCAGUGGCGUUGGUGAUGUAUUGAAAGGUGCGUACAUUGGUUCCACACUGGUGGUAUCAAUGUUCAUCACCCGGUCAAAGCUCUGGGUAAUAGUUUUAAAUUCGACCAAGAGCUUUUCCAUUUCGCCUUCUGUCAAAUCAAAGUGAGUGGCUCGUGCUAAGCGUUUUAACUCUUCUUGGCGCAACUGCUGGUGUUUACGUUUGUUAAUAAUGGGCAACACUACACUUUGCAAAUCAGUAAAGCUUUGUUUUAGUGUUUUGCGUUGGUUUUUAGAAACUGCUGUUUUAAAACCUUUGAGCAUUAGCGGGGUUAAUAACAGCAGAAUUGGAUAGAUCACAAUAAUGUCCAACAAGAAGAUUACGGGAGCGAACAGUAAGCGUGCUAAUAGUCAAAACUCGUAUGUUUGACCAGUUGUUUGCGUGUCAAAGAUCGGAAUGAAGGCAAUGUUGAUCAUCAACAAACUAGUGGAAGCUAAGGUGAUUACAUUCAAGAUUAAAUAGAACCAGUUUUCCUUAGUUAGUACAAACAGGGUAAACUGGUGAUUAGCAUGUUUGUAACUGCGGUAAAAGAAACGAGAGUGCUCAAAACUUAAGUGACGCUGUUUGACUAACCAAACAAUGUACAACACCAGCAUAGCAAUAACUAUGGCAAUGGUAAAGUAGAGCAGAAUGUUGGCGUACUGGGUUAACGAAAGCUCAAAGACAAUUGAUGGUGCGUUAAAUUUCAAGCGAAACUCUUCAUCACCCUUAAUCUCCUUAAGGUUAUUACUUAUCCCAAGCACAAAGAACUGGGUAAUUAAAAAGGCGGCAAUGACCAUGCCAAUCGAGAGCACUAGGUAGGCAAAAUCCGAUAAAUUACGGUUGUGUAAAAGUGCUGUUGAAAUUAAAACUUCACGCAGUAUGCCAGCAAUCAUCCCGGUUAAGAUGGCACCUAAAACAUAACCAACGUUAAAAACCCCACCCGAAAAGAUGACCGUUAAAAAGUCAAUUGUGGCCGCGGAAAAAAUGCCGACAAUUGGACCAAACAACAGUCCCGAAAUCUUUACAAGGAUUAACUCCAAGGUGACCCGAAAACCAGGAUAACCACGGAACAAAGCAGCGGCUAAACCGCCUGCUAGUGCCAUUAACACUAAAACAAUCGACACCGCCACAGCAAUGAUCAUGGCAAUCGUGGUAAUGUUACCUACCCCAAUUUUGGGAGUGUUUUUUGGAUAGCGUUUAAAGAAAAAUAAAAACAGUAGAUUUUUGAAUAAAAGGUAGCCCAUAAUGGCUACAAAAACAACCGCAAAGUAAAUAAAUCCAGAAGUGGAAAUAUCAGAAGUUAAUGGUUGAGGUUUAUUUAUUAAUUUAUCCAUUUUGGACUUUGCUUUGCAACUCUAAAACAAGCUUGCAAAGACAGUUUAAGCAGCUUUGCAGUUCUUUACAUUGUAAAGAAAAGACUGCUCGCUGUGCUUUUCUGUUUGAGUACAAGCGGAAUAAAAAUCAUAAGAAAAAUAAUGAAAAAUGCUAAAGCUUUGUUUGUUGAAUUAAAGACAAAACUUUACCAAAACAGUUAGAACUGGUACUGUACCUGGCCGUUAGUCCAAUCAAUUGGAGUAUGGUUAUGGUGCUUUAAUCACUGGUUAAUUUGCUUAAACAAAGCAUCGGGAUGAUCGAAAAACUUCCGCCCGGUUAAAGGUGAGGGAUGGGGGUAGGAUAAACUAGCAAAUUGGCUUGCUCCACCAAUCUUUUUAAGAACAAAAUUCUCGGUUUGUUUGCCCAAAAAAACGAGUAGUACAUAGAGUUUUUGUGACAAGAGAAAAUCGAGUAAAUGACAGUUAAACUGCUCUCACCCCCAAUUGCGGUGCGCAUUGGUUUGAAAGGCAUUGGUGGUAAAGACGCCAUUUAACAACAAGAUGCCUUGUUGUGCUCAACCCUCUAACAGUUGCUUCGUUCAGUGAUUUUGACCUGCUAGUUCCGGAUACUCUUGCUGCAAGCGCAGAAUCAUCCGCUUUAAGCUUUGUGGUAGUUUAGGGGCGUUAGAGGCAAACGAAAGACCACAAGCGUGUUGUGGAUUAGGAUAUGGAUCCUGACCGUAAAUAAUUAGUUUAGUGUUAUUUGGUGCAAAAAAGCUAAAGGGACGAAAGACUUGAGAGGCUUUGGGAGUUAGCUCUUGCUCGACAUUUUUUAGUUUAGCUAACAAUUCUUGAAAAUAGGUCUGUUUGGCUUCUUGCAAAAUAAAAGCCUUCCAUUCGCUUAAAACACCACUUAAAAACUGGUCUAAAAGUUGUUCCAUUUGCUGCCUUUGCGGCUCAAUGAACUACUUAGCUGUCAAAAUAACAAAGUGGAGGUAGCUCGCUAAAUCAACUACUGGCGGUUUAGUUGUACCAGUGCGUAGAUCCAAGUUGUCCAAACUUUGACCCUUAAGCAAGUUCAUAAAGCCCUGCUCUUUAACUUUAAUUUGUUGUUUAACGUGCAGGGUAAACCACAGUUUGUCUUCGGUAAAUUCAAACUUAGAACCGGGAUAAUCUUGCUUGGUAACAAUACCGCUAUCCAAAUCACCAUCAACGAUAAACUUCAUAUCCAUAGUUCCACUUCAAGAUGUUGGAAUCCCACCAAUUGCAGCCCCAAUUAGAUAUCAAAGACUGACAUUAUAGCUACCAGUGUACUUCAAGUUAAUUUCAAAAGAAUAGUUAAAUGGUUUUACUUGUUUAAUCUCAAUUCUUUUUUGCUUGUUCCAAUUAAUGGAAGAAUUUUUAUUUUCAUUCUGAACACUUAAACUUUUUAAGUUGAGCUUAAUGUCGGUCUUACCAGAGAGCUCGUCACGCAAUCACUGUGACAUGUAAAUUCCCUGAAAGCCAGCCACAGGGAACUGAAUGCCAUUCUUACCAAAAGCGUUAUUUUUAGCAGUGGUAUUAUUUUUCUCUUGAUUGUAGUACCAAUCAAUGGCAGUUCGAAAACCGGCAAUUAAAAAGUUAAAGGUACGGUUUUGGUUGCGGAAGAAAGAUGAUUUCAGCGCCUGAAUGAGUUCAACCUUUUUGGUAACAUCCUUACCUUGUUUUAACCAGUACUCUUUAAAUUUUUGUGCUGAAGUUAAGCUAUCAUUAAACUGUUGUGUUUCUGCGACAUUCUUAACUUCUUCUUGGCGCCGUUUUUCCGCUUCUUGCUGUUCUUUUAAUAAUUGCUCGGCACGUUGUUUGGCCUCUUCUAUUUCUUUUAAAUGUUGUGCCAAAGCAGCUUGACGUUCCUUUGCAAAAGGUGCAAUAAUAUCCUGUUUGUACUGAGUUUUUGCAGCUUCUAGGCGUGGCUUAAUAAUUGAUUGUGUUAGGCUCACUUGCUUUUGGAUAAUGUUUUCACCUAAAGCGGUUUUAGCAAUUGUGGUUAAAUCGUUAGUACCACUAGUUAACUUAUUAACGCUGUAUUUGUAAAACAACCCAGCCGUUAAAUCACUACCUUGAAGAUCAAAACUGUUUUGUAAUUCUUGUAAGGUAGCGAAGUUAAUCGUACUAAUAUUGAGCGCAAAAUCUAAAUUAGCUUUAGUGUCGUUAUUUUGGUAAACAGCAUGGAACUGCAUUUGCACUUCAAAGCUGUAACGUACCUUACUCUUAAUGACAAUGUCAUGCGUUUUAAUCAGUUUGACUUCAAAACCACUUAAGUUUAUUGAUGCUAGCUGAAACUGUUCAAACAAACUAGCAACGUUGUCCGCUAACCCUAAACCUUUCGGGUUCAAUACCGGGAAAAAGCCACUGCCCAAAAAGUCAAAUAAGCGUGCUUCUACACGGGGAAUUUGACUUUGUUCAUUGACAGGGAAAAUGUCAUUAGCAGCUUUUAUUUCCUUUUGCAGUUGGGGAAUUGUUUCAAGUACACCAGUCAAACUCUGUUUUCAACCACUCAACAAGUUAAAAACAUCGACUAAACCUAACUGGUUAACCGUAAUUGGCUUUGUCUUGAACUUUUGCUGAAAUAAAGCAAAGUUAGCGUCUCAGUCAGUAUGCUCUGCCACUGCAUUCAAGUCAGCAUCACUAAAUGCUUCACCGUGUAAAUUUAAGAGGUGGGAGUUGUCAGAUUGGUAACGCUGGCUAGUUGAAUUGAACCUUAAGUGGCUUGGUUCUAAAACAGAACUGUGCGGUAAAAUCGAGAAAAAUGCAAUUAGCGUGGGUAAAACGGUAAAACUACCGGUCAGGAACGCUCAUUUUUGUCAGCGCUUUUUUGGAAAUUUCAAUUAAAGUAGUUAGAAGAACUAAAUCAAAUACUAAAAACUACUGGAAAACUAAAACUACAGGAAAAUUUAACGGUUAAUUUUAACUUUUAGCUUUAGUGUCUUUGCCAUUUUCCUUAAAGAUGGCUUUAAAGAAAUCACUAAUGCUAAGGCUACCAAACUGUUUUUUAGUUAAAGCAGCUUCGGAAACAUCGAGGUGAUUUUGGGUAAUAGCAGCAACAAAUUGAUUGACUUGUUCCUGACUCUUUUGCAAGUCGUUGAGUAAAUUGGUAUUUUCGGUGUCAGUAGCUGCUUUAGUUAAGUCAGUAACAUUAGUUCAAUAACUACUGCUACUGCUUGGUGUCUCAUUUAAAUUAGCUGGGUACAAGAAGCUAAAACCGUUUGGCGUAGCGAUCGUGCCUUUAUUGGAAUCACCAUUGUUACCUUUUUCAACUUUAUUAACUUCUGGUGUGUAAGUUAGCAAUAGACUAAAGUUGUUCAAUUGAAGCUUAUAGUUUGUCUUUUUCAAUUCCGUGCCCCACUUCUUUUUCCAAACUUGCUUAAGUUGAGUGGUUGUGGGUGAAUUCUCAGUUACAAAAUCGCCAAAUUUAAUUUCAUUACCGUUGAAGCCAGUUUUAACAAAACUAAAUUCAGCUUCAAUAUUUUCGACACUCACUAACUUUUGAAUAAGACCACUAGAUGGGUUUUUGUUAUCACCACUUCCUUGAGUAUUCAUCGUACUCGAUAAAGUAAUCUUAUCGCGCAAAUCAAUCUUUUUGUUGGUGUUUUUGGUAUUUGUACUUGACAUUUGCGCUUGACUUUUCAAGGUAACUGCUUGAGUGGUUUUUUGCGCCAUUUGUGUUUGGGCGUUGUCAGUCAACUUAGCUGCAUUAAAGCUAAGUGACUUUAAACCAAACCAAAAGUUGUUGUUGCCAUCAUCAGCGACAAUUAAGUUAUUAGCCAAUGCCCGUUGUAACUCCGUUUCAUCAAUAUCUUGACUAAAGGUAAUUAGAUUACUGCUUUUACCAAUCGCUUUUAGAGAAGGUGUUACUGUGUUUCAAUAAGUUAAAGCAGGUUUAAUAAUGCGGAAAUUUAAUAAGGAAGCAAUGCCGCCGUAAAGUCGUUCAAACAAGGCUUCUUCCGGUUUAUUCUGGUCAGCUGCAUGAAAAUCACCACUUUCACCUAAUUUAAUUAACCGGGUGGAAUUGUUAGGGUCGUAAGUACCGGUGGAACGAUUAGUUUCUAAGAAGUAACCCUUUUGGUUGUUGUCAUCGUUAGAUGUAGUAGUACUAGAUGAACUACUAGCAGCCUUAACAGCAGUAGCUGUUUUCCCACUAAUAUCUUUUUUGAUUGCGCUAACGGUCGUUUGCACAGGUAAAUGAAAGGUUGAUUGUGGUGUUGAACAAGCAGUGAACACAAUCGAGCCUAACAAAAAAAGCGGGAUCGAUUUAACUGUUUUGUACUUCAUAAACUAACUGUAACCAUCAGGAUUGUAUUCCCGAACCCGAAAGGUAGAAACGUCACUUUGAAAGUCAAACUGUACUUUACCAGUCGGACCACUACGGUUUUUUUCCAAGAUUAACUCCACUUGAAAAAUAUUGUUGUGACCAAUUGCUUCUUGAUUUUCACUGUCCUCAUCCUUGACGCGGUGGAUGAAUAAAACCAUGUCAGCAUCCUGUUCAAUCGAACCCGAUUCACGUAAAUCCGACAAAAUGGGACGCGAAUCUUUGCGUUCUUCUAUUCUUCGAGAAAGCUGUGCAGCGGCAAUAAUUGGUACGUUAAACUCCUUGGCAAAGCUUUUAAGUGAUUUGGAAAUCAUGGUGACCUCUUGUUGACGCGAAAUGUUAUAGCUGUUUUUAAAUGCAUUAACUAGUUGGAGAUAGUCAAUUACGACCAACUUAACGUUAUUGGUUUUUGAAACUUCCGUGAUUUGAGCACGAAUUUCGUCCAACGUAAUCGUGCUGUAAUCAAAAAUUUUAAUAGGAAGAUCGCGCAAUACUUCUGAUGCUUUAAUUAAAUCAUCAUACACAUUAGCGAGCCUUUGACGACUCGUGAGUGUGUAAUUUACCUGGCUUUCUAGCAUUAAAUGGCGCUGAUAAAUUUCACGGUUACGCAUUUCUAAGCUAAAAAACAGCAACACAUCCUUGUUUUUAUCAAACUUUUCGCUGUCAUUAACCGCGCCCUGCAAAAAGUUAAUUAGAAGCGCUGUUUUCCCGCGACCUGGACGCGCUGCUACCACAAUUAACUCACCCUCUUUUCAACCAGAGGUUAAUUGAUCUAAAGGGUAAAAACCACUUUUAAGCCCUUUUACAGUUAAUUCACCACGGUACACUUUGCGAAUUAACUCUUCCUCUUCACGACCAAUUUCGUCAUAACUCAAACCGGGAAUAGAAACAAAGGCGCUGUGAAUAAUCUUGGUAAAGUCGUUUUGAAUUGCUUGUAAAUAGCCCUCAAAACGGUCAUCUUUGACCUUAAACUCUUCCUUUUCAACCUUUUUGGCGAACUGUUUAAGUUGGCGAAAAAUCGAAGCUUUUUUGACAACAUCAACAAAGACCUUGAUGUCCCUUUCCAAAAAGGGAAGACCUUUGAGUAAAACGUCCUCAAAUAAACCUUCAAUUUCCCUUUGUGUUUUGGAAUCGGUAUCCAGCUUAAACUUAACGGCCUCUAAAAGCGCCGAACCAAACAACUUAUUGCCCUCAGAAUAGUUUUCCUGUGCUGUUUGAAAGAUAAAGUUAAACGGAAAACCAAAGAAGUCCUUCGGUUCAAGCUUGGUUAAGAUUAAGUCCACACCAACGGCAUCUUGUACUAAAGCUUGCAUUAAAACACGCUCAGCACGUUCAAUGUUCUUGUCGUUGGCAAACUUAAAGGUCUGUUCAAGCUUAUUUGACACCAUUAUCCGGGGUUACCUUAACUUUUAAAACUGCGGUUGUAUCUUCAAAGAUGUGUAAGGUAAUCUCGUGAUCCCCAAACCCUAAGCGCACGUUGUCUUUAAACAUAAACUUUUGCAGCGCCAUCCCUUUAGUGUGGGCUUGGUUAAUAAUUUGCUUGGUAAUAAUCGAGCCAUACGGCCGACCGUUGUGCUCCUUUAAGCUAAAGUGGAGUUCUGUUUGUUCAAUUACUUCCUUUAACUUGUGGCUUAACGCCUUGUUAAUCUCAUAGUGUUCUUGUUGUUUCUUUAAGAACAAAUCACGGUCUUGUAAACUCUUUUUCGUUAAAGGUGCAGCCAGUUUUUUAGGAAACAAAAAGUGGAUUGCAUAGCCAUCUUUAACAUCAACCACAUCAAAGCGUUUGCCUAGGUUGCUAACAUCUUGCUUCAAAAUUACCUUCAUAACUAAUCUUUUACAAACGGAACUAAGGCUAAGUAACGUGCACGCUUUAAGGCCUUGGCUACAUGGCGCUGAUGCAUUUGGCAGUUACCAGUAAUCCGGCGUGGGUUAAUCUUAGCGUAGGGACUCAAGAAACGCUUUAACGCUUCUAAAUCAUCAAUUAAGUCAAUUCUAAGUUGACCAAUGGCACAAAAACGGCAGUACUUUUUAGAACGCUUAAAUAAAGGACGUACCAUUCUUUUGCCUUCUUCUCUGUUGAAGGUUGUUUCAGUUGUAGUUUCAACUUCUUUUUGGAAAUUAUCGUGUUCGUUAUUCAUCAUCACUCUCCUCCUCUAGUUGGGAAUCGUUGUUUAAAAUGGGGUUAAUGUCAUCAUCUUCAUCAUCCAGACUAAUCGGAAAUGCUUGGGCUAAUUCAUUUUCAGUAGCAUUGGUUUUCGCUGCUAAAAAGGGUGAAUCAAUUACCGUAGCCUUAUCAACAGGUUGCUCUAAACUGUUUUCCUCAUCGGGACGGUAAACCUUAUCAGCGAUAACUUGGAGCGCGUAAGUGGCCUUCGAAUUGGGAUCAUCACUGCGGUUGUUCAUCUUGUAAGUGGACAAUCUCCCCUCCACAAAAACACUGUCACCGGGUUUUAAAGUUAAAACAAAGCUAGCAACUUUACCCCAAGCAGUAAUCCUAAUAUAGGACUUACUGUCAUUAAAACCGCUCGAAUCAAUGCACGCUAAGGAAAAGGACGCGCCAAUAUUGUUGGUACGGGUUUGCAAUUUAUUAGGAUCAAACGAGAGCUUACCAAAUAAAAAAACGCGGUUCAUUAUUGCUUAUCCUUAAAGCGGUUGUGCUGACGGUUGCGGUUGCGGUCAAAACGGUUAUUGUUAUUGUUUUGUUGGUUUUGCCGUUGGUUAACGUGUUCCGCGUUAAAGCGUUUGAAACGUGGGCGGUAUGGGUUGGCUUGAACGCUGUCAAAGUUUCCCAUCUUUUGCACCACAUCCCACAGCUCUUCCUUUGGUUUUUGUGCCUUUUCAGUACGUGAUAAGCGUGGUUGGGUGGAAGCUAAACCUGAUGUUACUGGUACAUCCGGGUUUUCGGGGUUGUUUUCCCGCGCAAUGAUUUCGUCAUACUUAGCGCGUUUUUGCAGUGCCAGCUGUUGCUUUUUUGGAUUUAUCGAAGCUAAGUAGCCGUACUCACGUUCUAAGUUAAUAAUCAGUUCACGUAAUACUUGCUUGUUAAUGUUAGCGGUACGCUUAAAGUCCUUCGUGGAUUGGUUAUCACCACUAAACUUCCAGCGGUAAUAAUGCGCUGAGAGUUGUUUCUUAAUUGGGUAUGCCAACUCCUUUAAACCAAGGUAUUCUGUUUGCAAACCCUCAACGUUGGUUAACGUUUGCUGUUGUUUUUCAUUCACUUGGUUAGCUUGCUCUAACGAGAGCGAACCAUCAACUAAAAGAAUAAUGUUGUAUUGCAUCGUAACUUUAUGGGAAAACUAAAUAUAAAAGUAAAGAUUUAUGCCUAUCUAUUUUGCUAUUUCUUGGUGGCAAUUAUCUCAUUCACCACACUCUUAGGGGUUUCAGCGUAAUGGCUAAACUGCAUCACAUAGUUACCCCGACCUUGAGAGAAGGAACGUAAAUCAGUGGCGUAACCAAACAUCUCUUUGAGUGGUACUUUGGCCUUAAUUACCUGCACGUUAUCACGUUGUUCAGUCCCCUCAAUGAGACCUCUUCUCGAUGAUAUGUCACCCAUGGUGUCCCCAAAGUAUUGUUCUGGCACCGUCACUUCAAUUGCCAUAAUUGGCUCUAACAGUACCGGACUACAUACCUUGCCCGCCUCUUUUAAAGCUAAGGAUGCCGCAAUCUUGAAGGCCAUUUCACUCGAAUCAACUUCGUGGAACGAACCAUCAAACAAGGUAGCUUUGAUGUCAAUCAUCGGAUAACCAGCUAGCGGACCUGAUGCCAUAGCGUUUUCCAAACCCGCUUGCACUGGUUUAAUGUACUCACGCGGAAUCCGACCACCAACAAUCUUGUCGACAAACUCAAAGCCCUUGUCCUUGUUUGGUUCAAAGCGAAUCUUGACAUGACCAUACUGACCGCGGCCACCCGAUUGUUUAAUGUAUUUACCCUCAACUUCACUUUCUUUAUUGAAGGUUUCACGGAAGCUUACUUGUGGUGCGCCCACAUUAACUUCAACCUUAAACUCGCGGCGCAUCCGAUCCACUAGGAUGUCUAGGUGCAAUUCACCCAUUCCCGCAAUAAUCGUUUGCCCAGUUUCGGGAUCAGUGAAGGUCUUAAAGGUCGGAUCUUCUUCCGCUAACUUCGAGAGUGCAAUCGACAUUUUUUCCUGAUCUGCCUUGGUUUUUGGUUCCACCGCUAAAGAGAUCACGGGUUGUGCGAACUGCAUCGCUUCUAGUUGGACAUCAAUCUUGUCAUCAACUAGGGUUUCUCCAGUAGUGGUGUCCUUUAAUCCAAUAAUAGCACAGAUAUCACCAGCACGAAUUUCCUCGAUUUCAUUGCGGUUCUGCGCGUGCAUUUUUACCAAACGUGAUACCCGUUCCUUUUUGUUCUUUCUUACAUUCUUAACGUAAGAACCGGACUUAAGUACUCCGGAGUAAACGCGGACAAAGGUUAAACGUCCCACAAAUGGGUCAGUCGCUACCUUAAAGGCUAAACCAACAAACGGUGCAUCAUCACUAGCCGAGAUUAACACCUCAUUACCAUCUUCACCAUAAGCCUUGGCUUGCGGUACGUCAACUGGGGAAGGUAAGAAAUCUACUACAGCAUCCAAUAACAGUUUGAUCCCCUUGUUUUUAAAGGCAGAACCACAAAGCACCGGGAAGAACUGACAACCUAUUACCCCUUUGCGGAUACAGCGCUUGAUGUCGGCAAUACUAAUUUCCUUACCUUCAAGGUAAUCAGCCAUUAACUGAUCGUCAAAGUUAGCCACCUCUUCCACUAGGUGCGCACGCAUUUGUUUGACCUGAUCCUUAAACUGGUCGGGAAUUGGUUUUUCCUCGGCCUUUUCUUCCUUACCACCAUCAAAGAAGUAAACUUUCUCUUCAAUCAGGUCAAUAAUGCCGUUAAAGUCGUUUUCCGCACCAAUUGGUAAUUGGAUAGGUACCGCCUUUACUCCUAAGCGCUGUUGAAUCGAUUGUACAGAACGCUCGAAGUUAGCCCCCGUUUUGUCCAUCUUAUUGACAAAGAUAAUCCGGGGCACUUCGUAACGCGAUGCUUGGCGUCACACCGUUUCGGUUUGUGGUUCUACCCCCAUUUGAGCAUCUAACACAGCAAUGGCACCAUCAAGGACACGGAGACUGCGUUCUACUUCUACGGUAAAGUCAACGUGACCGGGGGUGUCAAUUAGGUUUAAGCUGCAGUUCUUCCAACUAACUGAAGUAGCUGCGGAGGUAAUCGUAAUACCGCGUUCCUUUUCCUGCUCCAUCCAGUCCAUCACGGACUCCCCGUCAUGGGUUUCCCCAAUCUUGUGGAUUCGGCCUGAGUGAAAUAAAAUUCGCUCUGAGGUGGUGGUUUUACCCGCAUCAAUGUGGGCCAUAAUUCCGAAAUUACGGAAGUUAAUUAAAUCUACUGUACGCGCCAUAAAUAACUAACUCUAUUCUCUAUUACCAACGCAUGUGGGCAAAGGCCUUGUUGGCUUCAGCCAUCUUAUGCGUAUCGUCCUUCUUUUUAAUGGCUGCACCAGUAUUAUUCGAUGCAUCAAUAAUUUCGUUAGCAAUCUUCUCUAACAUCGUUUUUUCAUGACGCUUACGCGCAAACAUUGCAAUUCAACGGAGUGCUAGAGCAAUCUUGCGGUCUUGAGGUACUUCGGUAGGUACCUGAUAGUUGGAUCCCGCAAUCCGCCGUACCCGGAGUUCCAAGCGCGGCAUCACGUUGCCCACAGCGCGUUCAAACACGGUUAAGGGUUUUUCUUUAGUGCGUUGUUCAAUGAGAUCAAAAGCACCGUAUAAGAUUCGUUGUGCUAAACCCUUCUUGCCAUCUUCCAUGAUGACGUUAAUAAUCCGGGUUACCAGCGUAUUGUUAAAAACGGGAUCGGGUAAAACAGUCCGUUUGGGAGCACGAUUUUUUCGCAUAUAAAGUUAAUUGAUUGAGUUAAUGUUUUUCGUAAAAAAAGGAAUUUAAGAUAUUAGGACUUGGCUUUUGGUUUCUUAGCCCCGUAAGCUGAACGUUGUUGACGGCGUUUUUCCACACCAACAGUGUCUAAGGUACCACGAACAAUGUGGUAACGCACACCAGGAAGGUCUUUCACCCGACCGCCACGGAGUAGCGUUACACUGUGUUCUUGGAGGUUGUGUCCUUCACCAGGGAUAUAAGCCAACACCUCAAAACCGUUAGUAAGUCUUACCUUGGCAUAUUUGCGCAAAGCAGAGUUCGGUUUUUUUGGAGUCAUGGUACCAACCCGGGUACACACACCACGUUUAAGUGGUGAAUACACGUUGGUUACCUUUUUGUUGAGUAAAUUGAGGUUGUAAUGUAAAGCGGGUGAUUUAGAUUUAACCUUCUUCUUUUUCCGCGGUUUUCUAAUUAAUUGUGCGAUUGUAGCCAUAAAGACAGCGCGAAUAUUGUAACACAAUCUAAGCUUCCGGCACUGCUUCUAGCUUGUCAAACAUGAGCAUUUCAUGGUCGUACAAACGGUAAAUUUUCGGUGGUAAAACAUCGUUGUAGUACUUCAACUGAAAGAAGGAACGUUCCUUUUCAGGUAAGCUCUUUUCGUAAAAUGCAAACUUACUAGAACAAGCCUGUGUCCUAUCCUUCAUAAAUAAGGUAGUAAAGAAAGCGGCUACCUUGUACCAACCGUAUAGGAAGAAGUAAGUUCAGAAAUAACCACGCAAUUUAAUUGCUAACGUUUGACAGUAAAUAAUCCCUACUAUUCCCACCAAAAUUAAGAGUGCACUAAACACAAUCGAGGUAUUGUACUUAAACGCUUCAUCACGCUGCGUUUCCAAGAUUAAGCGAACUAUGCCAGUCGCUAAGAAGUAACUAAAGCCAAUUGUCCCACUGCGGAUCCCCUUAAUGUGGUCCAUUACAAAGUAGAUAAAGACAAAGAAGAUCGUGUUAAAGAACGAUUCGAUUAAGAAAAGCGGAAUGCGGAAGCUACCAUUGAUAAACAUUCCGUCCCACACUUUGGGCAUUAAGAUUCUUAAAAAGCCCCAGGUGGUGUUAGCAGCUGACAGGGUAUCAUUUUUGGAACCCACUAAAGCUGCGCCAUAAACUUCCGCGUUAAAGAAGUUACCCCAACGACCAAUGGCUUGACCAAUUAACACACAGGGAGCGAUGAGAUCCAACAUCACAAACACUGAGAUGUUACGCUCGACAUAAACCGUUUUAAUCUGGUUCUUGUUGUUUAAUAGUUUAGCGGUGGUUUUGGUUUUGGUCGUCUUCAUGUUUAAAAAGACGUUAAAGUAGAUAAUCCCCGCUAACGUAGUUAACAACACACCACCUUGGAUUGCUAACCCACCGUUGCGGAAGUCAAAGAAGUUGCUCCCACUUGAACGACCAUCAACCGCUUCAAUCAAAAAAUACCAAGCUCGUGCGCCCAAUACCAUUGUUAAAACUGCAAUGAAGAUAAAGAAGUAAAAGCUGUUAUCUUGAAUCUUGUAAAAGUAAAUUAACUUCAAGACAAACAUUAAGAUGCCAAAGGCAAUCCCAAUUGCGACUAUGAUCCCAUACCAUUGAAUAGGAAAACCCGGCCCUAAGUAAAAGGCCGUUGAUCAUGGUGGUCUGCUACUAACACUAGGAUUCAUCUUUUUUACGUUUUAAAAUGGCCUUCUGGUUUUCAAUAAAGUCUAAAGCAGAGUUAUAGCCACUGUGCUUAAGUUUAAAAUCAAUUACAGCGCUUUCAAUGAUUUCACUCGUCUUCCGCCCGGGGGAAAUCGGAAUUUCAUAAAAGCUCAAAUCAACUCCGAGUAAACGUUGUUUUUUCAAUUCGGUACCUAAACGCUCAAAGGUCACGGUCGUUUGUUUUUCUAAACUCAGUAAGUUCACCAUUAACUGGAUUUCGGUGCGCUGUUUAGUAAUUUGCAAUCCGUAAAAGCGCUCGACGUUAAUAAUACCAAGACCACGGAUUUCCAUAAACUUUUUCGCUACUUCCUGCGCGCGACCAAACAAGCGAUUACCCAAACGGUAUAUUUCAAUCGCAUCAUCACCGACAAAGAGGUGGUUCUUGUUAAUUAGAUCUAAGGCACACUCUGAUUUACCAAUGCCACUGCGACCAGUUAAUAAGACACCUACACCAAAAACUUCCAGCAAGACGCCGUGAAUUUGUGCAACAGUAGCAAACUGUUCGUUAAUGUAGGUUUCGACCGUAAAGGAAAGUUCCGUGGAAAAGAAAUCGGUCUUUAGGAUCGGUACCUGAUAAGUCUGGUUAACCUGUAAAAGUACCGUGGGGUCAGUAAAGGACUUGGUCAAAAUAAUCGCUGGUGGGUUGAGUUUGAGUAAGUUGUGGAGAAUUUGCUGUUGUUCAACCAGCGUUUUUUGACUCAAAAAGCCAAACUCGCGUUUGCCCAAAAUGGCUACCGAGCCAAUUUGGCUGGAAAACAACCCCAGCAUUUCAAACACCACCCGCUUUAAUCCGGGUACUCUAAUUACAUUACUGGUGUUAGUGUGCCCAUCAAUGAGGUUAACACAAUCCUGAAAUUGUUCGAUUAACUCCUUGACUAAUAACUUUUUCAUCUAACUCUUGUACAGUAAAGUUAGCCGUUCGUCUUUAAUGGAUAAGAAGAUCUCAUCCUUGAGACGGUAAUGCUUUUGUUGAAACGGUUGGAUAAAGUCUAAAAUGGCAUCAAUCUUGUCCCCCGUUACAUCAAUGUGGUGGGUAAUUAAAAAGCUGUAAACCAACUGACGUUGAUCGGGAAGUGGGUAACGCUUUAAUUCACGUACAUCAGGAUGAGCUAACCACUGUUUUGCACGUUUCAUUAAGGAAAAGAGCUUUUGACCAAUGACGCGGUUCAUGGCGCACACACCAAUGUAAAACUCCUCCUUCUCUUCCUUCGAUCAGUUAGCGAUCUCCUGGCGUACCUGAUUACGUUUGUAAAUUGGCUGCGCGUUGGUUUCAUCAAUACCAUAAGGCACUUUGUGUUCUUCACACAAGGCUAAGAUCUCGUUUUUUCAGUACUUAAUAAAGGGACGAUAGACCUUCAUCCCAUACAAUUCGCCACGUGUUUUAAUGCCAUAAUACAUGGCACGCUUGCGUGCGUCCAACUGCAUUUUGGCCUGUUCGAUAAAAUCAUCGCGGUGGUGGGCUAACAGCAGCUUAUCUACUUUAUAAAGGCUAGCUGCUUUUUGAAACUGUUCAAAGCGAAUUUUUCUAGCUUGUGCUUGAAAGUUUUUCUUUCAAACGGUAUCUUCAGGUACCGUGUGCACAAUGAGGGGCACUUUGAGCUGUUUACAGUAUUCUUCGACCAUUUUUUGGUCGCGGAGUGCAGUAGUCCGCUUAUUGUAGUUAACGUGUACAACACAGGCAAUCUUCUUGUGGUACAGUUUUAACAACAACAUUGAAUCAGGACCACCUGAUACUCCAGCUAUGUAUUGUGUUUUAGGCAUUGAAAACUUCCAUUAAUUUAAGCAUUGUCACACCAUCAAUGUAACCCUUGAGUGCUUCAAUCGCUUUUGUAAGCGCUGUUUCAAGUAAAUUACGCUCGGCUGGGGUAAACUCCGACAUUACCACUUCAUGGAGAAUGUUACUAGUAUUAUCGGACUUAAUUCCGAACCGGAGGCGGUUGAAGUGUUCAGUAUUUAAAUGCGCAAUUACUGACUUUAUGCCAUUAUGAUUGUUGGCUGAACCCUGCAUUUUUAGUCGAACAGUACCUAACGGGAAGGCUAAUUCAUCAUAAACCACCAUUACCUUAUCUGGUUUAAUGUUUCAGUUUUGACAAGCUCAUUUAACAAACUUACCACUGUGGUUCAUGUAAGUGUUUGGCUUAGCUAACACUACCUUAUGUUUUCUUAAAAGGAUGAAUUCACCUAAGUUGUUGCGUUCCUCUAACUGGACAUGGUAAAGACUUAGUAAACGAUCAAUUACCUUAAACCCCGCGUUAUGACGGGUUUCAGCGUACUGCUUACCUAAAUUACCUAAACCAACAACGAGGCGCAACUUGUCCAUUAAUCAGGGAGCUUAACCUUUAAGCUCGGACCCAUGGUAGUGGUCAAGGCAAUGUUCUUAAUGUAAAUUCCUUUAACGGUUGCUGGUUUACGUGAUUUAAUGAGAUCAAGCAGUGCCAAAGCGUUUUCAACCAAGUGGUUGGACGCACUGUCCACGCGGCCUAAGGACAUGUGGAUGUUACCAAAGCUGUCAGCGCGGUAUUCCUUUUUCCCCUUCUUGUAAGCGCGUACAGCAGCUGGAACAUCAUCAGUAACGGUUUCUGUUUUUGGGUUAGGCAUUAAACCCUUGGUACCUAACAGCUUCCCGAGUUUACCUAAUGCGGCCAUAAACUUUGGAGAAGUGAUGAUCAGGUCAAAGUCUAGUCAACCGUUUUUAAUGUCAUUGAUCUUGUCAAUGCCACCAACAAAGUCAGCACCUGCUUCCAGUGCCGCCUUUUCAUCAUCGGUGAUCGCUAGAAUACGGAUUGGUUUGCCAACACUGUGAGGAAAAGCAAUCGCACCGCGGAGCUGUUGUUCCGCCUUGGUGGUGUCUAAAUUAAGGCUAACGGCAAUAUCAACUGAGCCAUUAAAUUUGGUAAUUGAAGUUUUUUUGACUAAAUCAACUGCUUCUUGGAGCGGGUACAGCUUGGUUUUAUCGACCAAACCAACAGCUAUCUUCAUUUUCUUUGAUAGUUUAGCCAUUAUUCGAUCACCUCGAUUCCCAUUUGUUUAGCAGUACCUAAAACCAUUUUAAGGGCUGCUUCCACGGUGUUAGCGUUCAGAUCCACUAACUUGUACUGCGCAAUUUCCUUGGCCUUGGCCAUCGUAAUCUUACCCACAAUUGUUUUGGCGUUUUUCGCCCCCUUUUCCAGUUUUGCAGCCUGCUUAAGCAAGAUGCUAACUGGGGUAGUUUUUAAGAUAAAGUCGAACGACUUAUCGUUGUAAGCGGUGAUCACACAGGGGAUCAUUUCGCCCUGUUUGUCCUUGGUUUUUUCGUUAAAUUGUUUGGUGAAUUCACCCAUGUUAAUCCCAACAGAUGCGAGUGCGGGACCGGGCUUUGCUUGCCCGCCUAAGAGGUUAAUCUUAGCGAUUCUUGUAAUAGUCUUUUUUGCCAUAAUUGGUGUGGUAAUAACGCUAAACUAGCUCCCACAAUUUGCUAGAAAUUUUAAAUUAAUUUAUCCGACUUGCUCCUUUGAUCCAACUGUCAAACUGGCCUUGAGUACAGUACAACUCGUGUUCUUGGGUAUUUGGCACCUUCAAGAAGCUUGGCAUAUUCGUGAGUGAAUAAUCACUGUCAUACGUAAACUUCUCGUCAAAGGAGGCUAGGUCAAUGUUAAUCUUACUCAACUUUGGCGAUGCCUUAAUCAAGGAACGGGUGUAAGGGUGGACCGGGUGCGCGAAGAUUUCAUCCGUACUACCCCGUUCCACAAUUUUGCCGCGGUGCAUAAUAAUUAAACGGUUGCACACUGUUUGUACCAUCGAAAGGUCGUGGGCAAUAAAGAGCACCGUUAAGUUGUGUUUUUUAGCCAAGUCCUUCAAGAUGUUAAUCACCUGCGCUUGAAUGGAUACAUCCAAAGCACUAAUAAGCUCAUCUGCAAUAAUUAACUUAGGUUUGGUAAUUAAAGCGCGGGCAAUCGCAAUCCGUUGCCGCUGACCCCCAGAAAACUCGUGCGGAUAGCGAUAAGCGUGCUCGCGUUUGAGGCCCACACUGUCUAAUGCUUCAUACACCUUGUUACGCAUGAAGAUCUUGGUCAAUGGUAAGAACAAUCCUCACUUCAUCACGUCAUGACCAAAGUGGACUAAGCGAAAGACACGGGAUUCACGCACAGCACGUUUGUACUCAAAGUUAAUCACCCCAAACGACUUUAAGCGUGUUUUGAGUUCACUCUUGAGAUCACCUUCGACCGGGUAGAACAACAGUUGGAUCCGCUCUCAAAUGGUUAGAUCCAAGCCUUCCUCAAUCUUUUCUAAUUCCUGCUGUUUUUUGACAAGGAGGUUUAACUGCUUGGUAAAUUGGCGUAACAACUGUUUAAAGCGUUUAUAGAGGUGCAGCGCACUCUUGUACUGCUUUAAUACUGGUUUUAAAGCGGCCUUUUCGGUACUUUGGACUUCGCGUUUUUGCUGCUUGAUUUGCGUUUGAAUUUCAGCAAUUUGCGUUUUUAAGCCAGUAAUUUGGGCACUGUGAUCUUCUGCUUUUUUUUCUGUUUUAAAGGUAGCUUUUAACUCCGCAAUUUCAGUUUUAAAACUACUAAUCUUGGUAUUAAUUUCACUGGCUAUAUUCGAUGCCUUUUCAAUGUCAGUGCUAAUAAUAUCGUUGAGUUCCUGCACUGAUUUGGCAAUCUUGUCAUAGUUAGCAUCACUAAAGAGCUUUUCCCAGUAUGGUUGGAUUACUUGGGGGAGCUCCUUAAUGUCAUAACAGCUGUUGGCGUAUAACAACUCGGUUUCGCGGUUAAAGUCAAAACUAUAGUUAGUUUGCUUCUUAAAACUCUUUUUCAAAGCAGCAAAGCGUAAGUCACACAAGCGACGGAUAAACUGAACAAAACGGAUUAACUCGGCCUUAGCGUCACUCUCCACAUUAGCAAAAUCACGGUUUAAGGCAAUCACCACAUCAAUCAAGUCAAAGAAGACUGCGUUGGUCAAUUCAUCAAAACGAUCGGCGUUCUGGUGGAUCCAAUUGUCAUAAAAGUACGGCAACGCCUUGUAAUACUCCGAUAACACUAACACUAAGCGGCGCUUUUUGUCGACCAUGUCGUUGUAAGAAAAAGCAAAGACAUCGUCAGUUAACUGCGUGUUUUGGCGUGAAUCCUUAAUGUAGUUCUUCGUUGUUAACAACCAUGCAUUGAGGUAAAUCCGUGGUUUGUUUUGCAACUCUUCCGCCAUUUGGGCACGGUACGCUUUUAAGUUCUGCUUAGUUUGUUGCAACUUUUGUCAAGUAGCAAAGGCCUGGGUGGAAACUUUAGCUUUUUGCUGCGUUGUAUACAGCUCUUGCUUUAACUUGUCAAUCGUGUCCUGUGCUAAGGUUUCCUGUUUGUCUUUGAGGGCCUUUUGUAGCGGUUCGCUUUGGGAUGAGGAAAACUCAUAGACCAGACCGAACUCUUGCCGUAAUGCUUCAAUUAGAUCAUCAGUGUGACCCAAAAUGGUUUGUGCUAACUCGGCUGAACUAUUGUUAUUACUCUCUUGGAGUAGGGCAAACUUGUUAAUCGUAGUUUCUAAGUGAAACAGUACCUUUGAAAAGAACUUUUCGUAAAACUGGGUUUCCAGUUCAAAGUCUUCCCUUAACAAUUCCUUCUUGGUUUUAAAGGACAGUUUAGCGAGCGUUUUAAGAUAUUCCUUUACCUCACCAUACACCGUUUUGGUAAUUACUAACGGUUCGGAAAUGACCGUUAAAACAUUCUUGGUAGGGUUUAAAGAAGAGUAUGGGUCUUGAAAGACCAUCUGCACGUUUUGCUUUAACCAGUGGUCGUUUUCGCGUGUUAGUUUUUUACCAGAAAUAAGGUGGUUAGCAAUUUCCACCUUACCGCCACUCGGGAUAUUUAACCGGAUUAAACACUUCCCCGUGGUUGACUUACCACUACCCGAUUCGCCAAUGACCCCAAAGAAGUCACCUUCAUUGACGGUAAAGUCAAUUUCAUCUAAGGCUUUAAAGAAGCUACCGCGGACCUUGAACAACAUGCUCAAGGCUUUAACAUUAACGAGCGGAUUUUGUUUUUGUUUUUUUGUUUCCAUUGCUUUUUGGUUGUUUUACAGGUUGAGAUGGCAUUUUAAUGGCGAGUGCUUUGCGGGUAAUGGCAAUCUUUUCCUUGACAUCGGCGGGCAUCUCUACCUUCGGUGCUUGGGGAUGGAGUAGCCAGGUAGCGGCCUUAUGAGUUUCCGUUACAUCAAAGAACGGCGGUUGGUGCUCGAAAUCAAUGGCAAGUGCAAACUGGUUCCGCGCUGCAAAGGCAUCGCCCUUAGGCGGGGAUAACAUAUUGGGAAUAUACCCAGGAAUUGAGGUUAGCGGAGCGUUUUUGUCCGUACCUUCAGGGAUAGAAGCCAUUAAUGCCCAAGUGUAGGGGUGCACCGGAUUGGUAAAGAUUUCCUCAACUAAGCCCUUUUCCACUAAUCGACCAGCGUACAUUACGUAUACAAAGUCACAGAAAUUAGCAAUUAACGAGAUGUUGUGACUAAUAAAAAUAAUGGUAAUGUUGAGCAGGUCACGCAGCUGUUUAAUUAGGUUCAACGCCUUCGCUUGGAUGGUCACAUCCAACGCCGUGGUCGGUUCAUCGGCAAUAAUUAAAUCCGGUUCGGUGGCUACGGCAAUCGCGAUCACAAUCCGUUGCCGCAUUCCCCCGGAAAACUCACUUGGAAAGGCCUUUAAGCGCUUUUCAGCUUGGUCAAUGCCAAUGAAGUUAAGGAUUUCUAGCGUUUUUGCAUGGACCGCCGCCUUAGUCGUUUUAGCUUUGUAAGUUUCCUUGGCUUGUGCUAGUUUUUCCUUGUAAGUGUCCAGGUCAAUUCGUUCUGUUUGCAAAUCGUAUUUGAGGUCACUCUUAGUUUGGUAAUAUCGGCGCUUACACGACACAUAAAUCGCUUCUUUAACCUGGCGACCGAUGGUCAUGGUGGGGUUUAACGAGAACAGUGGAUCUUGGGAAAUGUAAGACACGUACGUGCCACGGUAGUACUGUCACUGGUGCUUUUUCAUCUUGCUAAUGUCAAUGUUCUUAAAGUUCAUUAACUUAGCGGUCGUUUUUGCGCCAUCGUUAAAGCCAAUAAUCGACUUAACACAGACCGAUUUACCACUACCAGAUUCGCCCACAAUGCCGACAAUGGAGCCCUUUUUGACUUUGAGAUCAACACCACGGACAGCUUGCAUAAUGCCGUCUUUAACCUUAAAACUCACGUGAAGAUCACGGAUAUCUAAGAUCAAAUCAUCCUGCAGUUUGUACUCUGGUUCUGUAAAAAAAUUAGUUGCUUUUAGUGCCAUAUUACCUCCUUAUUACCCGUGGGUCAAUUGCGUCAUUUAAAGCGUUAGCAAACACGCGGGUCGAAACGGUGAGAAUUGCAAAGCUCACAAUUGAGCUGGUAAUCAGUGCUAUGUUACCACUACUGGUGACCUGGUUUAAUAAAGCACCAAGUCCCACUUCGGUAGCAGGUUUAAGCCCUAAGAAAACCAGUGAUGCUUCAUAACCAAUCACAGCGGGAAUCAAACUCACAAAGACGACUGCUAAACGACCAGUUACAACUGGUAGCAUGUGGACAAAAAUAAUGCGAAUUUGUUUUGCUCCUAAGGUACGCGCUGCUUGGAUGUACUCCGUAUCCUUAUUCUUUAAGAUGUAGAUCCUUGUGGUAGCAGCGGGUCAGGUCCAAAAGACAAAGAUUAAGGUAAAGAUCACCACACUGUCAUCAAAUUGUUUUACCCCACCAAAGCGGAAUGUUGCUCCCAAGACAAUGAUCCAGAGAAUUGAAGGAACCAAAUCAAUAAUUUCAAUGAUCCGGCUCAUAAUGUUGUCAGCAGCGCGUCCAACAAAGCUCCCAGCAAUCGCGCCGUAAAUGGUGCCGAAGACCAUUGAAACUAAGGCUACCACAAUCGCAAUUCAGAGUGACUUGGCCAUACUGGCUCACAGUAAAGUUCAAAUAUCAACCCCUAAACCGUUAGUGCCUAAUAAUGGAUAGUAGUUUUUCAGCUCUGCUAGUUGGUAAGGCGCAAUGUUGUACUUAACGUUAGUAGCGAGUGGAUUGCUACUUGCCUCCGGUAAUUUCCCUACCAAAACACCACUUGAUUGGGCCACUUCAGCAAUCGAGCGUGCCGUAAUUUUCUCUACUUGAAUGUCACCCGCGCCGUUCCAGAGGUAUCGUGGUGGUAGGUUCUGUGCCAAAGCGUUGUUCGAUACUGGAGUAACGGCUGAAUAAGGUGAUGCUAAGGGUACAAUGAUGGCUAACAAAAUAAUUAGCACAAUCAGUAAAAAGAAGAGGAUUGCUCACUUAUUUUGGAACAACCGCUUCAUAAUUUCGACAAAGUUAGUGGUUGGUUUGCCAAUCAACUGGUCAGAGCGUUUUAAGACAUUAAUGUCUACCCGUUGAAACAGGCUUUGGUCAAAUUUUUGGUGCUUAUCCAUGGAUCGUAAUAAUCUUUAAACAUUUAGUUCCUAACAAAACAAAGUUAGCAGUUGGUUCAAUUUUAAGGGUGGUUUUUUGCUGUUCAGUUAAGCUAAUGGUAUUGUGCUUGUAAUCAAUUGCUUUGAGCUCUAACAGCUGGCGGUGUUGGGGCGAAUUGAACAACACAUUGUGGGAAUUAGUGUGGUUAAUCCGUCUUCACUUACGCAAUCAAGCUUGGCGUAAAUAAACAAACUUAAGCUUAGUUCACAGACUCACCCCACCGGCACUAGCAAUCCGAAUCCUAGGAUCCACUAGGACAUAAAUCAACUCAAUGAAGACACUUGCUAGUAAGGGAAUCCCCUGGAUGAACAUAAUGUUAAACAUCACGAGGUUAGUUUCGUUACUUUGCACCGAGUCAAUUAAGAUCCGUGAUACCCCCUGAACACCAAAUAAGGAUUCAAUAAUAAAACCACCCGAAAAGGCACCAGAGAUCCCAAAGACAAAUAAAGGUACAGAAGGAAUAAUUGAGUUACGGAAGAUGUGGUAAAGCGCUACAGCAAAAGUACUCAAACCUUUACUACGUGCUGUUUUUAUGUAGUCCUGGUUCAUUACUUCCACGACCUCAUUCCGUACCCGAUAAGUAAAGGCCGCUGAGGUGUAAAAUACCAAGGAUAAAAUAGGAAUAAUGGAGGCUAACAAGAAGUUACCAAAGUUAAAGUUAGCAUCAUCGAAGUUAAUAAAGCGCGGUGGUAAACGGAACAAACCAGCUGCCUUAAGUAAACCUAAACCAACCACAAAGGAAGGAAUCGAAACAAAUAAAACAACGAGCACGUUAAUUACCGCAUCAAUUAACUUGCCACGGAAUAAUCCGGAAAUCAUCCCGAAGAUAAUGCCCAACAAAGAGCCGAUAAAGAAAGAAAUUAAAACAACGUAAAGGGUGUUAGGUACCCGACCAAAGACAAUUUGGUCAAUUGUUUGGUUCGGGGAGCUGUAAUAAGUACCCAAACUACCUGAAAAGAGGGUUUGUCAGUAACGACCAUAUCGCACAAUUAACGGAUCGUUAAAACCAAAGGCAUCUAGUUGUGUUUUGACAGCCUCCAAAUCCUUAGAAGAGGUUGCUGAUAAGGGCGUUUGACCUGUGGAGUUAACCAAAAAGAAGACAAUGGUCAUCACGAUAAACAUCGCUAACACUGCCAAACCCAAACGUUUAAGAAUAUACUUGAACACUUUCGAAUACUAAUAAAAAAGAAAAAGGAACCUGGUUCUCAGGUCCCUCAGCAUGCUAAUAUUCUGGUUACCUGAAAGAUUUGAUGUAACCAGUCCAACUAAAAGUGCAGAUGGCUACAGGGAAACGCGAUUUAUAAUCGGUUUCCACUCGGAGUCAAACAGCAUUUUAGUCGCUAAAAACAUUGUUAGUGGUUCAAAACAUUCUACAAAAAAACGAUACUAGUAAGUACAUGUUAGGUACACAAACCACAAAUUCGAAGCCGCGUGAAUACGGCGGGUUAAUAGUAAGCACAAUUUACAUUGUGCUUUUCUUCGCCAUUUUGAAUUUAACCGUUUUUUUCAAUAAAACUAACAACAUUAACCUAAUUCUGAAAAACAGUUGUGUUGUUAGUUUUGUCGUUGUUUGAUUGCUUGUGUGUCUCCAAGGUAUAGUGCGCUUAAAAACCUGUGAUGGAGCACGGUACGAAAUUAGCAAGUUUAACCAAUAUCUAAAACUAGGUAGUAUAUACGCCAAGCCCAACAUUAGUUUUGACGAGUAUAAAGCAAAAAGUUCAUCCUACCGUAAACAAACCCGCGGGUUUUGGUGGAUGAACUUCUCGCUUUACCUUCUAGGUAGCUUAAUCAGUAUAGUAGUUAGUCUGCUCUAAAAACCAACGAACCAGAAGUUAGGUUUUGGAUCGUUGAGUUUGAAGCCCAUGUCAGUAAAGUUCAGACGCUUCACAAUCUUCGCAGCAUCUUGAACACUGGUGUCAUAAAUACCGUAUGGGAAGAUAACACUACUACUGUAAAGUUGUAAGGAACCUUGCAUUGGGAUUUCCAAAUUGAACUUAGGUCAAAUCUUAAACAAUCAAAGGUCAAUAGGAAUACCCAAGCGAUCAACCGUUAUCUUGGAAUUAAAGCUGGCCUCUAAAUAGUUGUUAUUGAUGAUCGUAUCAUCAAUUAAGCUUUUGUAAUCAUCUUUACUCCAAUUGUCGCCUAAUUUCAAUAGGUAACCCAACUGUGUUUUAGUAUCAAGUUGUUUUGGAGAUUGUUUACUUUGUUGUUUUUGAUCUUUUUCUUUAUUAAGUGCCUCAUAAAGUUGAAUUACAGGAGAUUUUGGCUCAGUAUUACCUGCUUCUUUCGUAAUGUUUUUGUCAACUGCUUUGAGUUGAAUGCCAAAGCCAUCAACAAAAGCAAAUGGAAUUACCCGUUGUUCAGGAUCAGAAAUGUCAAGUUCUAAACGUGAUGUGUUAUCUUCGUUUCGCGCAAACACUUGGAUGUUAUCUUUGAACUCGUAUUUCUUUUGGAAGAUUUGUUUGGUAAUGCUGUCAAACAUAUUUGUCCAAACAUUAAAGAAUGAUUGUGACAACUUCACCUGACCGUUAAUAGCUGGCGAUUUACCCUUAUACUCUUUGUUUUUUAAUUCAACUUUUACCUUAGUUGCAUCAAUUGUGGUAUCUACACCAAUAAUUUGAUAGCCAAUUUCGCUGUUAAUUAAAGAGUAGUAAGCUGGCAACACAUUGAGAUUUUCACCGCCAUACUUAAUGUCGAACGAACCACCUAGGGUGAUGAAUGAAUCAGUUUCUUUAACGCUGCUUAAAUCGUUACCAAAGAGCAUGUCGCCAAAGAGAUCACGAAUGGACUUGGUUUUAUCAAUAGCACUCUUAAAAGUAUUUUCAAUAGAUUCAAAGGCCCCAGGGACUACUCCUUUAGCCCAACCAUAACCAGGGAAACCUUCCUUGAUGUACUUGUCUUUCAUCGCUUUGUAGCUUUCCCCUUUGAACAAGAGUUUAUCUAAAGUUGUUUCUAAAUCUUUAGUGUCUGGCAAGAAUUCGAGCAUUGCCUUAAUCAAGCCAUUCUUGAUUUCAAAGUUGCCAAGUUCUACCUUGUAUUCAACAUCGAGUUUUUUAACCUUUAAGGUUGUUUCAGUUUCUUCUAAUUCAACAUUUUCGGUGUUUUUAACUUCUUUUAAGGUGAUUUUAUCGAGAUUGGUUUUACUUAAAGUGUUUUCACCAAUGUGUUUAAAGAGUUUUUUGAGCGCCUUAGCUUGUUCCUUUUUGUAAUCGGUAGCACCUUUAGUGUCCUUAGCUUCAGCCUUAGCCACUUCUACACUGCGGUUAAGUAAUUCAUUUUUAAAGAUGUAGCUAUCUAACAAAUCACCUAAGGCAGCUACCUUUUCCCCUAAAAGACUCUUUAAUGAUGUUACCAGUAGGGAAUCUUUAGUUUCAAUUUUUUCACCAUUUUUAACAGUACGCUUUGUUAAGAAGAGUUCGGCAAUCUUGUCAACAAAGUCAGCCUCACCAAAUAAAUCAAACGCACCUUCGUUGUCAAAUAACUCAGUGAAGAUGGCUACUUGAUCAGCCAUAAACGGCGUUGAUUUUUGGAAAUCAGCUAAGAAGUUCUUUAACAAGUUAGUCAAGAUACCCUUGUGUUUUUGAAUUAAGUCAAACACAUAGGUAUCCUUUUGGGUUAAUAACUCUUCAAUUAAUGGACUUAAAGCCGCGGUUUUUUCAUUCGUUUUAACUGCUGGAACGAUUAAGUCUUUGAAAGAUUGCAACCUUUCAUAGAGACCAUCAGAGUCAGUAAUGCCAUCAAACAAGACGUCCACUAAACCUAAAGAAGAGUUUAAUUCCGGAAUGGAAAGCUCUUUAAGUAGGUUUAAGAUGGUCUUUUUGUUGUCAAAGAUUAACUUGUAGACAGUUAUCUUGUUUUCUGCUUGACUACUACUUUGGAUUAAGUCCUUAACAAAUUUACCCAAUCCAGGACGGACUAAGUUAAACAGUUUUUCAAAAUCUUCUUUAACUUUAUCCAUUACCUUUAGGAAGGAUAAUGGUUGACCUUCUUGUUGAUUGCCAAAUUCUUUAAGGGCUUUACCCAUUAGCUCAGCGAUAAUUUUGGCAAUGUCAAAUUGGUUUUUAAUGUUGGCAUUAACGUCCUUCUUUACGUCUUCAGCCUUCACGUGGGUGUUUAGGUAUUUACCCUUACCUACUAAAUUCUUUUGUGCUUCAAACACAUCAACGCCAUUGUAAACGUUGCUAAAGGCGAGGUUUAAAUUCGUUUUGAACGGAUUAAAACUAAAUUUAUUGACAACCUUACCGUUUAAAGUAAUGUGGUCAAACAUAUAGUUUAAACCCAAAGUGUAAUCUGGUAAAGACAGCGGUAGAACUAAUAAUUUUUGGGCACUAGCAUUGACAUAGUAAUCAAAGCUUUGUUUGGAGUCAACUACAACCGAUACACCUUCUGGUAGUUUUAACAACUGAACGGAUUCGGUGAAGUUAGUAAAGCGGAAGAUAAAGUCUAAACUAGCCUUUUUGUCAGAUGAAAGGGUAAAGUUUGACCUGGGCGCACUUAAAUCAAAGAAACUUUGGUUUGGAUUAAACAGCUGUUGGUCAACCCAUUCCUGUAAAUCAGCGGUUAGCGCUGGGAAGGCCUUCGCAUCACUUAGGAAUUUAUCAAACUCACCUUGGAGUUUAUCCUUAAGCGCGUUCUUCGCUAAAAAGAGUUGUUGUGGUGAGGACUUAUAGUUGACUAAUUUAUCAGUCCCGUUUUCCACGGUAAUUCUAGUUGCCGCAGCUGGCUGUGCUUUUGGCAACUUAACACUAUUAAGACCAAAGCGAAUAUCUUGAAAAUCCGAUUGUUCUGAUUCAUGUUCUACUUGGUGGGUCUUAUUUACAAGCGUUAUAGUUGUAGGUACUACCACCGCAGUUGUUCCCACAGUACCAGCGACUGAUAGGGAGAUAAUAGCACUAAGCUUCAUAGUAAAAAUUGGUUAAAUUAAAAACUUAAAUAUUGAAAUGAAAAAAGACUAGUUACUAACAGUAAAAAGUGCCUGAAAGGUUGCAAUUCAGGUCAAUUUAGUAACUAGAUAAUUUCAAAGAAGAAAGUUUUGUCCUUAAACAAACGGAAGUAAUCGCUCAGUUUGUGGUUAAAGUAGUGUUGUUGGUCGAGCGUAACCUGGUGAUACUCUUGGGUUGUUGACACCUGGCGCACUGGUUCACUCUCCUCACGUUUAUUCUUUGUAUCAGUAAAGAGAACUAAAAAUUCGUUAAUUUCAGUUUCAAACAACACAACUGAGGAAGCUAACUUUUGGAAAGAGUUAGCCAUCUUUUGGAUGAUGUUGACAAAGACAAACAACGCAUAGUACCCGUUUAAGGAGUACUGGUUGCGUGUCUUGAGGCAACUGAUUAACUUGAACGAAAGGCUGGCAAACAGCUCGCCCAAGUACAACAAGACAAAGACAAUGACGUUUAAUUUAAUUAGUUUACGCAUUGCUAGCUCUUAAUUUUACCACGAAAUUGCUUUUCCAAUUCAAAGAUCGAGUCGCGGAUCUCAAUCGCUAACUCAUAGUUUUGGUUAGCUGCUGCUUGCUUCAUUUCCUUGGUUAGCUGCUUAAUUAAAGCAGCUUUUUGCUGCUCUGAGCUUUUGGUCUUUAACUUAAUCGGCUGGUUUAAGGUAAUUGGUUUUUGCACCGUCAUUGGUGUUUUGUGGUGUUGUUCGUUGUAAGCCAUUUGGAUGGUGCGCCGGCGUUGCGUUUCCUUAAUCGCCUUAUCCAUUUGUUCGCUAAUGGUAUUGGCAUACAUAAUCACCCGGCCAUGAACGUUUCGCGCAGCGCGGCCAAUUAUCUGGAUUAAACUGCGCUCAUCGCGUGGUAAUCCAGGAAUGUCAGCGUCAAAGAUGGCUACGAGUGAAACUUCAGGAACAUCUAAACCUUCUCGCAGUAAGUUAAUCCCCACUAAACACUCAUACUCACCUUUGCGUAAAUCCGUUAACAGAAUUAAACGUUCCAAGGCUUUAAUAUCCUUGUGGAUGUACGCUACCUUAAUGUUGCGCUCCUUCAAAAAGUCAGUCAGGUUUUCCGCCAUCUUAAUCGUUAACACCGUGACAAAGGUACGACCGUUGUGUUUUCUUUGGUUAAUGAUUUCACUCACUAGGUCUUCAACCUGGUUGUCCUUCGGUUUCACAAUCACUUCCGGGUCCAAGAGGUAGGUGGGACGCACUAACUGUUCGACCACGUUGUUGUGACUUAACUGAAUUUCCUCUUCCCUAGGGGUAGCGGAUACAUAAAUGACCUUGUUGAUUCCCUGGCGGAAUUCCUCAUAGGAUAAAGGACGGUUGUCUAAAGCUGAAGGGAGGCGAAAACCGUACUCAAUUAGGCUUUGUUUCCGUGAAAUAUCGGUGUUGUACAUCCCCUUAAUUUGCGGUAGCGUUUGGUGGGAUUCAUCAACUACCAAUAGCCAUUCACCUUUAGUAAAGUAAUCAAAGAUGUUAUACGGCUUGGAGUGCGGUGGGCGGUGUUCUAAAUGCCGCGCAUAGUUUUCCACGCCACUACAUACCCCCCAGGCCUUCAGAUCUGCUAAAUCGUGUUCGGUAAUCGUUUGUAAGCGCUGGGCACGUUCGGGGAAGUUUAACCGUUCAAAGUACUUUAAGCGAUCUUUGAGUUCGGCCUUAAUCGUGUCUAAGGCUACUCCUAAGUCAUUUUGGUUUACUAUGUACUCA
RNAcentral lists this small RNA (35010 nucleotides) under Mycoplasmoides pneumoniae M129. Its description in RNAcentral is "Mycoplasma pneumoniae M129 ncRNA". Lineage: Bacteria; Bacillati; Mycoplasmatota; Mycoplasmoidales; Mycoplasmoidaceae. The record is from RNAcentral.